CCAAUUCGGCCUCCUGGGCGGCUGCGCGCUCAACCCCCUCCCUCCGUGCCCGUGCAUAGCUUGCUCCCUCUGCCCGCCUCAUUUUGGGGCGGUUGGGCUGCGCCCGUGGGGUAGGGUCCGGAACAAGCGACGGAGCCAAUGAGGCGCGGCGGCUGCAUCAGGCCGACUGCCAGCAGCGGCUGAGGUGGAGGCGGAAGGAGGCGGAAGGAGGCGGAAGGAGGCGGUGGCGGCGGAGGGGCAAGAUGGCGGCGCCCGUCCAGUUCUUCUGAGAGUGUUGGUGCUGUGGUGGUAGCGGGUGGCCCAGUAUGCCGUGUGCGCAGCCCGGAUCCUGGAGUGGGAGUAGGAGCGGGACCCCGAGCACCCGGCCCUCUGCGACCUGCGGCCCUGGCUGAGCUUGUGUUUCAGAAUUUUGACCCGAAUGCAUCUGUGUUGAAAGCCGGGCUUGGUCUGUCAUCCCAGGACUCUGUGUCGGUCCCUUUCCUUGCCUAUUUGUUGAGUUGGAGCUCAUCUUCAUGCCUCUGGUUGAUCAUCCGGGACUACCACCAGCCCCUGGAGAGCAGUGGCCUCUGGUCCUUAAACAAGGAGGACAUGUCGGAACAAGUCAUGCCUGUUUUGGUAAAGAAGUGGACGAAGAAAUGCACCAAGUCAAGGAAUGCUUGGGAACCAGGGGGCUAUGCCCUUUCCUCCUGCAGCUCCUUGCAUCCUGGUCCUGGGAAAGUGAGCUUAACACAGCAGAGAUACUGUUAUCUGGGCUGGGUUUUACCCAUCACUGCUGGUACAGGAUGCUUGCUCGGGCCCAGGGCCCUCAGUGAAUGGAGCACUCUGCAUAGCUGCAAAGCACUGUUCCUGCCCCAAAGGACUGAACUCCAGAUACCACCUGGCCCUCAACCAAACAGCCUGUUUACGGCCUCUGCAGAGCAGGUCUACUUUCAGAGCAUCCUGGCUGUCCAUUGCUCUACCAUCUCCUCCCGGGUCACGGGCAUCAGCAGUCCAGGGAAGGAAGCAAAGCAAAUGGAGAAUGGCAUGUUGGUGACAGACAGUAUGGGGAAGCAACUACAGAGACAGCUCAGCAGCUCCUCCUCCUAUAGCGGGGACAUCAGCAGGCACCACAAAAGCACAGCAGAGCUGCAGAAAGCCAAAGCCAAGAAGGAGGAGACUUGAAAGCUGAUGAAGGCUGACAAGGCACCAACAGGGCAGGUCCAGGUAAAGGCUCUGACAGUUUCUGAAGGACACACUGCUGAGGAUCUCUGUCACCGAUGGCUGGAAUGUAG
Saimiri boliviensis boliviensis (Bolivian squirrel monkey) is the source of this 1271-nucleotide non-coding RNA. The record is from RefSeq and is a predicted model, not a curated record. NCBI's taxonomy places the organism in Eukaryota, Metazoa, Chordata, Mammalia, Primates, Cebidae.